This 445-nucleotide ribosomal RNA is filed under the name uncultured bacterium. Its description in RNAcentral is "bacterial SSU rRNA". It matches the Rfam family "Bacterial small subunit ribosomal RNA", at positions 330 to 792 of the family's 1533-position model. The record is from RNAcentral.
ACCAGACUCCUACGGGAGGCAGCAGUGGGGAAUAUUGCACAAUGGGGGAAACCCUGAUGCAGCGACGCCGCGUGAGCGAUGAAGUAUUUCGGUAUGUAAAGCUCUCUCAGCAGGGAAGAAAAUGACGGUACCUGACUAAGAAGCCCCGGCUAACUACGUGCCAGCAGCCGCGGUAAUACGUAGGGGGCAAGCGUUAUCCGGAUUUACUGGGUGUAAAGGGAGCGUAGACGGCGGUGCAAGCCAGAUGUGAAAGCCCGGGGCUCAACCCCGGGACUGCAUUUGGAACUGUGCUGCUAGAGUGUCGGAGAGGCAGGCGGAAUUCCUAGUGUAGCGGUGAAAUGCAUAGAUAUCGCGCAGAACCCCGAUUGCGAAGGCAGCGUGCCGGGCCGCCACUGACGCUGAGGCACGAAAGCGCGGGGAUCGAACAGGAUUAGAUACCCCUGUA